GCGUGGAGACAGGUGGUGCAUGGCUGUCGUCAGCUCGUGUCGUGAGAUGUUGGGUUAAGUCCCGCAACGAGCGCAACCCUCACCCCUUGUUGCCAUCAGGUGAUGCUGGGCACUCUAGGGGAACUGCCCCGGUCAACGGGGAGGAAGGUGGGGAUGACGUCAAGUCAUCAUGCCCCUUACGCCCUGGGCUACACACGUGCUACAAUGGCCGGUACAAAGGGAUGCAAUACCGCGAGGUGGAGCUAAACCCAGAAAGCCGGUCUAAGUUCAGAUUGGAGUCUGCAACUCGACUCCAUGAAGGAGGAAUCGCUAGUAAUCGCGCAUCAGCACGGCGCGGUGAAUACGUUCCCGGGCCUUGUACACACCGCCCGUCACACCACGAAAGCCAGCUGUACUCGAAGUCGCUGAG
This 409-nucleotide ribosomal RNA is filed under the name uncultured Methylomirabilota bacterium. RNAcentral describes it as "bacterial SSU rRNA". It matches the Rfam family "Bacterial small subunit ribosomal RNA", at positions 1026 to 1434 of the family's 1533-position model. The record is from RNAcentral. Lineage: Bacteria; Methylomirabilota (SeqCode).